Molecule: ribosomal RNA, 248 nt
Filed under: uncultured bacterium
Lineage: Bacteria
Description: partial 16S ribosomal RNA
Rfam family: Bacterial small subunit ribosomal RNA
Source: RNAcentral
GGGCGUAAAGCGCAUGCAGGUGGUUUGUUUAAGUUCAGAUGUGAAAGACCCGGGGCGUCAACCUCGGAAUAGCAUUUGUAAACUAGGCAGACUAGAGUACUGUAGAGGGGGGUAGGAAGUUUCAGGUGUAGCGGUGAAAUGCGUAGAGAUCUGAAGGAAUACCGGUGGCGAAGGCGGCCCCCUCGGACAGAUACUGACACUCAGAUGCGAAAGCGUGGGGAGCAAACAGGAUUAGAUACCCCUGGUAG